UACAGAGGGUGCAAGCGUUAAUCGGAAUUACUGGGCGUAAAGCGUGCGUAGACGGUUAUUUAAGUCAGGUGUGAAAGCCCCGGGCUCAACCUGGGAAUUGCAUUUGAGACUGAAUAGCUAGGGUGCGGAAGAGGGAAGCGGAAUUUCCGGUGUAGCGGUGAAAUGCGUAGAUAUCGGAAGGAACACCAGUGGCGAAAGCGGCUUCCUGGUCCAGCACCGACGUUCAGGCACGAAAGCGCGGGGAGCAAACAGG
RNAcentral lists this ribosomal RNA (253 nucleotides) under uncultured bacterium. RNAcentral's name for it is "partial 16S ribosomal RNA". It matches the Rfam family "Bacterial small subunit ribosomal RNA", at positions 524 to 776 of the family's 1533-position model. The record is from RNAcentral.